RNAcentral lists this long non-coding RNA (663 nucleotides) under Gallus gallus (chicken). Lineage: Eukaryota; Metazoa; Chordata; Aves; Galliformes; Phasianidae. The record is from RNAcentral.
CUGUCUUUGGUGUUGGGAAAUCUACUUGCAGAGGAACAUCAAGGGUGACGUUUGUCCUCUCCUGCAUUGAACUGCAAGCCAUAGCUUUAGCAUUCUUCCGUUCAGCCAUAAUCUUUGAGCAGAUUUCGUGUAAACUUGUGGCGAUGGCUUUUGCUGGCGUGUCACAUCGAAACACAUGACAUUUCAGAAUUCUGGUGUCUUUGUCUCUUGCCACAUACGCAAAGUCUCGGCCAUUGUCACGACCCACUCCCCAGACUCUGAUGCUCACUAUGGGCUGUGAAUGAAGAACUGUACGAUCCAUGGGGUCGAUCAGGUUCAGCAUGUCAUUUUCCAGUAUCAGGUACAUGUCUUUGCCCUCUCCCCAAAUGCCAACGGUGUCUCUGAUGUCAUUUUUACAGUAGGAGAGUUGUCUGAUGCAAUUGUUCACAGCAACACUACUUUUUCCAGGAGCAAGAUCUUCUUCUGCCAUUUCUACCCAGCCCAGAGAGCGCACAGCAAAGCACUUGGCUUCUGGAUCACUGUUGAUGCUACAGGAAUCAUCAUCAUCAGAUUGUGGAGCAUUUCUGAGCUUCAAGGAGGCAUAGCGCAAUGUUGCUCCUUCAAACUCUUUCAGACUCGGGUCUGGGUUCACAGUGGCUGCAUGCAGGUCCUUCCAAAUGUCAC